RNAcentral lists this transfer RNA (59 nucleotides) under Klebsiella pneumoniae. Its description in RNAcentral is "tRNA-Leu". It matches the Rfam family "tRNA", at positions 18 to 71 of the family's 71-position model. From Rfam's summary of the family: Transfer RNA (tRNA) molecules are approximately 80 nucleotides in length. Their secondary structure includes four short double-helical elements and three loops (D, anti-codon, and T loops). The record is from RNAcentral. Lineage: Bacteria; Pseudomonadati; Pseudomonadota; Gammaproteobacteria; Enterobacterales; Enterobacteriaceae.
GUUAGAGCGCACCCCUGAUAAGGGUGAGGUCGGUGGUUCAAGUCCACUCAGGCCUACCA